This 177-nucleotide non-coding RNA is filed under the name Thalassocella blandensis. RNAcentral describes it as "Teredinibacter sp. ISS155 6S". It matches the Rfam family "6S / SsrS RNA". From Rfam's summary of the family: E. coli 6S RNA was the first non coding RNA to be sequenced, but its function was unknown until recently. It consists of 184 nucleotides that fold into an extended hairpin structure with a large single-stranded internal bulge. Lineage: Bacteria; Pseudomonadati; Pseudomonadota; Gammaproteobacteria; Cellvibrionales; Cellvibrionaceae. The record is from RNAcentral.
AUCAACCUGAGGUGUUGGCCAGUUGACUGUAUCCUCGAGCCGAUAAUCCCUUUUUAGGAGGCCUCUUGUUGUAUUGGUGUGCAUGUCCGCAUGACGGAAAGCCUAAUAUAUGACAGAUCCCUCCCCCUUGAACUUUACGGUUCAAGGUUAGGUCGACAGCGGCAUCUCGGGCAAUUA